UGCUUCAUUAUUUAGUUUAAAAUUUCGGGAAGACAAAAUUCAAGCAUGGUUCAAGAUUUAUACUCUUAUAGAUUAAUUUGUUUUGAUCUCCAUGCUGCUGUUUAUCGGAUUUGAGGCCAGAGCCAACCAUCAUAACCACACAACAUGCAAGUUUUUUGUGUGCAGGUGUUAAACCUGUCAUUAGCAACAAUCUCAGGAUCAUCACUUUCAAGAUGAAAAGCAUCCCAUUGCACUGCCAAUCGAGUUACGGAUCUCUCAUUUUCCCCUUACUUCAAAUCCUCGUGUACGCCCAUGUGAAUGUGGGUGUAUUCACGAGGACACCCUCUGCCCUAUCCCGUCUGGUGUAAUU
Molecule: long non-coding RNA, 349 nt
Organism: Daphnia pulicaria
Lineage: Eukaryota; Metazoa; Arthropoda; Branchiopoda; Diplostraca; Daphniidae
Exons: 3
Source: RefSeq, a predicted model, not a curated record